GUUCUAAAGUAACUUUGUAAACAAUUUCGGGGAAACGUAACAGAGUAAUUGUUAAUGCACAAGAACAUCGAGUUAUUACAGUUUUCACUUAGAAAGUUUUCAAGUAUAGCAAAUGUCUCCUACUGAAACGGCGAGAGCUGAACCCUCUUCUCCUCCAAGCUUGCAACAUUACUUCAGGGUGAAGAAUCCUUUUUACCCUCUGCGUGAAAGCAGAGAGGGAGAGGGCCAAGUGCAUCAAGAGUUGCCAAACUCCACAAAUCACCUGUACAUUCUAUCCUUCAAGCUUUUAUCCGAGUUUACAGAAAGAGCAUAAAAAAUAAAGCUCUUUGAAUGGAAAACCUUAGAAGAGUGACCAAUAACCCCGUUUCUUUCAGACAUAAUACACGGUAAAGUAAGAUAACACCCAUCACAUAGAAGGAAAAGGAUAAAGAAACCCAUGUUUCCCUUCAAUGAAGCAAAAGAAAGAAGUGAGACAACGAAAAGAAACAGGGAAGGAUGGUGGGAGAAAUGGGGGUGAGGUGGGGUGGGGGUGAGGGUGGAGGUGGGAAGAGUUAUUAGGACGAAGAGGGGAACCUUAGGCCUUAAAAAGACCCCUAACAUAUAUGCAUACUCUUGCUCCAGCCUUCUAUGUUCUCCUGGACUGAUGCUGAAGCAGAACAUGUUCUGGCAAAGAGAAGCCAGAAAGUAACCUUGAGACCUACAGAUGUACAACUGCACUAGCUAUUAUGAAAUCUUACCAUCUCAGCUAACAGCUUACAGAUUCGGGAUCUAUAUGUCCACUGCUUCCACCAUGAGAACUGAAUCCAGUAACAGGCAUAGACCGCUGAGCGAAAUUCAACAACAGCUUCUUUUGGUGGUCAUUUGUAUGUGGAAGACUAGCACGUAAAAGUUCCA
This 894-nucleotide unclassified non-coding RNA is filed under the name Hevea brasiliensis (rubber tree). The record is from RNAcentral. Lineage: Eukaryota; Viridiplantae; Streptophyta; Magnoliopsida; Malpighiales; Euphorbiaceae.